Molecule: ribosomal RNA, 872 nt
Filed under: Escherichia coli
Lineage: Bacteria; Pseudomonadati; Pseudomonadota; Gammaproteobacteria; Enterobacterales; Enterobacteriaceae
Description: partial 23S ribosomal RNA
Rfam family: Bacterial large subunit ribosomal RNA
Source: RNAcentral
AAUCAGUGUGUGUGUUAGUGGAAGCGUCUGGAAAGGCGCGCGAUACAGGGUGACAGCCCCGUACACAAAAAUGCACAUGCUGUGAGCUCGAUGAGUAGGGCGGGACACGUGGUAUCCUGUCUGAAUAUGGGGGGACCAUCCUCCAAGGCUAAAUACUCCUGACUGACCGAUAGUGAACCAGUACCGUGAGGGAAAGGCGAAAAGAACCCCGGCGAGGGGAGUGAAAAAGAACCUGAAACCGUGUACGUACAAGCAGUGGGAGCACGCUUAGGCGUGUGACUGCGUACCUUUUGUAUAAUGGGUCAGCGACUUAUAUUCUGUAGCAAGGUUAACCGAAUAGGGGAGCCGAAGGGAAACCGAGUCUUAACUGGGCGUUAAGUUGCAGGGUAUAGACCCGAAACCCGGUGAUCUAGCCAUGGGCAGGUUGAAGGUUGGGUAACACUAACUGGAGGACCGAACCGACUAAUGUUGAAAAAUUAGCGGAUGACUUGUGGCUGGGGGUGAAAGGCCAAUCAAACCGGGAGAUAGCUGGUUCUCCCCGAAAGCUAUUUAGGUAGCGCCUCGUGAAUUCAUCUCCGGGGGUAGAGCACUGUUUCGGCAAGGGGGUCAUCCCGACUUACCAACCCGAUGCAAACUGCGAAUACCGGAGAAUGUUAUCACGGGAGACACACGGCGGGUGCUAACGUCCGUCGUGAAGAGGGAAACAACCCAGACCGCCAGCUAAGGUCCCAAAGUCAUGGUUAAGUGGGAAACGAUGUGGGAAGGCCCAGACAGCCAGGAUGUUGGCUUAGAAGCAGCCAUCAUUUAAAGAAAGCGUAAUAGCUCACUGGUCGAGUCGGCCUGCGCGGAAGAUGUAACGGGGCUAAACCAUG